GUUUCCACUUUGGCAGCACAUAUACUACAAUUGGAACAGUAUGGAGAAGAUUAGCAUGGCCCCUGCAGCAAAGAUGACAUGCAAAUUCACGAAGCGUUGCGUAUUUUC
Mesocricetus auratus (golden hamster) is the source of this 108-nucleotide small nuclear RNA. NCBI's taxonomy places the organism in Eukaryota, Metazoa, Chordata, Mammalia, Rodentia, Cricetidae. The record is from Ensembl.